This 873-nucleotide ribosomal RNA is filed under the name Triticum aestivum (bread wheat). RNAcentral describes it as "partial small subunit ribosomal RNA". The record is from RNAcentral. Lineage: Eukaryota; Viridiplantae; Streptophyta; Magnoliopsida; Poales; Poaceae.
AUGGAACCUAACCACAACGGCUACGGCUACGGCUACUACGACAACAACAAUGGAUCCUAUACAAAUGAUGACAACCCAUGCUACUACGCCAUGAGCUAUGCCACUUCCGAGCCCUCCUCCUAUGGCUACCAAUACCAGCAGUCUCCUUCCACCCAGCCCCAGUCCUCCUACGACAACCACUACUAUGCCGCGAGUAAAUUGCUCAAAGCCACCACAUUUGUGGCGGCCCAGUCCUACGCAGCCGACGACGACAUUGCUCCUUACCCGCAGCAGCAGCAGCCACAGUACCUCAAUUUCGGCGGCAGCAGCUAUCAGUACGAUGGUGCCGCGAGUGCUAUGGGCAUGGGCAUGGACAUGGACCAGUUCAGCGCGCUCAUGGAGGCCACGUCGAUCUCACCUGCUGCACCAUCCUGGGCGGAGCAGCACGAGGCAAAGAAGGCCAACGCCGAGUCUCCGCAGCUGAUCGGCGUGCGGAGGGGGCCGUGGGGCAAGUACGCCGCGGAGAUCCGGGACUCCACGCGCAGCGGCGAGCGCGUGUGGCUGGGCACCUUCGACACCCCGGAGGCCGCUGCGCUGGCCUACGACCAGGCGGCCUACACGUCGCGCGGAACUGCGGCCGUGCUCAAUUUCCCGGUGGAGCGAGUCCGGGAGUCGCUGCGCGUGCUGAAGCUCGGCGAAGCCGCGGACGCGGGGAAGGACGACUCGCCUGUGCUGGCGCUCAAGAGGCGCCACUGCAUCCGGAAGCGCACUCCCAAGGGCAAGGGCCAGGGUGACAUGAAGAAGAAGCAACCUGCUGCUGCUGCUGCGUCGAGCGUGCUGGAGCUGGAGGACCUAGGAGCAGACUACUUGGAAGAGCUGCUCGCGUUGUCCGAG